GCAAUGGUGGCUCAUGGAGAUCUGGGUGCUAAACUUGCGGUUGAGGAAGUACCUUUACUACAGGGAAACAACAGAAGACCGUUCAGCCUCAUUCUACACUUCAAUUGCAAAGGUUUUGUAAUGUAUGUGUCUAUGACAUAUUGACCUUCUAAGGAGUUGCUUUCUGGAUUUGCUCGCUGCUCUAUGAAUCUAUUAUUUUAAGAAAUGAUGCCGGCCGCUCCUCCCCUCCGUCGUCCCUCUUCACCUGCUGGGUCCUCGCGGCUGGACGUCGUGGC
Molecule: non-coding RNA, 275 nt
Organism: Lolium perenne
Lineage: Eukaryota; Viridiplantae; Streptophyta; Magnoliopsida; Poales; Poaceae
Source: RefSeq, a predicted model, not a curated record